CACGUAAGGUGCUAGCGUUGUUCGGAAUUAUUGGGCGUAAAGGGCAUGUAGGCGGUGCCAUAAGUCAGACGUGAAAUCCCGGGGCUCAACCCCGGAACUGCGUUUGAUACUGUGGCACUUGAGUCAGUGAGGCGGAACCGGAAUUCCUGGUGUAGGGGUGAAAUCUGUAGAUAUCAGGAAGAACACCGGUGGCGAAGGCAGGUUCCGAGCGCAUGACUGACGCUGAGGUGCGAAGGUGCGGGGAGCGAAC
This 250-nucleotide ribosomal RNA is filed under the name uncultured prokaryote. Its description in RNAcentral is "partial 16S ribosomal RNA". It matches the Rfam family "Bacterial small subunit ribosomal RNA", at positions 524 to 773 of the family's 1533-position model. The record is from RNAcentral.